UAAUCCAAUUUUUUAUGGGUCUUGGUCAGUCGCCACCACCUCGCUGCCGAGGAUGUCGAAGGGAGAAGUAAUCGACUUUGAUUCCGAGACCACCGGAUUGUCUUUUCCAUCCGUGGUUUCGACGGUUGAAUAUAGUGAGUUUGUUCCUGAAAUUCAUUUUUCCGAUGCAUCAGUGGCGACACUGCUUGGUGAUGACCAGAAUCACCAUUGAUGUUCAAACGACCUUUAACAAUCGUGGAGGAGUUUCAAUUGCUCUACUUCCCGUCAAUUUUCACUCUGCUAGUUGUCAAGGAAAAGCUUAUACUGAGAUGAUCACGGGGCAAGCUACAAUUUGAGAUAAGCAGUGCAAAGGUUAAACUUUUUGUGGUCCCCUGUUUAUAGCAUAUCUAAUUUUGGAAGGAAACUAUUUGAAGGGAAAGCAAAAUUUGGGGAGUAUUUGAC
Andrographis paniculata is the source of this 441-nucleotide long non-coding RNA. RefSeq lists it as uncharacterized. NCBI's taxonomy places the organism in Eukaryota, Viridiplantae, Streptophyta, Magnoliopsida, Lamiales, Acanthaceae. The record is from RefSeq and is a predicted model, not a curated record. The transcript has 4 exons.